GUUGGUGGUUAAUACCCAUCAGCCCUGACGUUACCUACAGAAGAAGCACCGGCUAACUCCGUGCCAGCAGCCGCGGUAAUACGGAGGGUGCGAGCGUUAAUCGGAAUUACUGGGCGUAAAGCGUACGUAGGCUGUUACUUAAGCUAGAUGUGAAAGCCCCGGGCUCAACCUGGGAACUGCAUUUAGAACUGAGUAGCUAGAAUGUGUGAGAGGUAAGUGGAAUUUCCAGUGUAGCGGUGAAAUGCGUAGAGAUUGGAAAGAACACCAGUGGCGAAGGCGACUUACUGGCAUAACAUUGACGCUGAGGUACGAAAGCGUGGGUAGCAAACAGGAUUAGAUACCCUGGUAG
Molecule: ribosomal RNA, 349 nt
Filed under: uncultured bacterium
Lineage: Bacteria
Description: bacterial SSU rRNA
Rfam family: Bacterial small subunit ribosomal RNA
Source: RNAcentral